UACGGGGGGGGCAAGCGUUGUUCGGAAUUACUGGGCGUAAAGGGCUCGUAGGUGGCCAACUAAGUCAGACGUGAAAUCCCUCGGCUUAACCGGGGAACUGCGUCUGAUACUGGAUGGCUUGAGUUUGGGAGAGGGACGCGGAAUUCCAGGUGUAGCGGUGAAAUGCGUAGAUAUCAGGAGGAACACCGGUGGCGAAGGCGGGUCUCUGGGCCGUAACUGACGCUGAGGAGCGAAAGCGUGGGGAGCGAACAGG
Molecule: ribosomal RNA, 253 nt
Filed under: uncultured bacterium
Lineage: Bacteria
Description: partial 16S ribosomal RNA
Rfam family: Bacterial small subunit ribosomal RNA
Source: RNAcentral